Trichechus manatus latirostris (Florida manatee) is the source of this 107-nucleotide small nuclear RNA. The record is from RefSeq and is a predicted model, not a curated record. Lineage: Eukaryota; Metazoa; Chordata; Mammalia; Sirenia; Trichechidae.
GUGCCCGCUUCUGCAGCACAAAUACUAACAUUGGAACAAUACAGAGUAGAUUAGCAUGGCCCCUGUGCAAGGAUGAUACACAAAUUCAUGAAGCGUUCCAAGGCUGU